AUCCAGCUGACGAGUCUCGGAAUAGGACGAAACGCUCGUCUUGGAU
This 46-nucleotide non-coding RNA is filed under the name Schistosoma margrebowiei. The record is from RNAcentral. Lineage: Eukaryota; Metazoa; Platyhelminthes; Trematoda; Strigeidida; Schistosomatidae.